CACUUCUUAAACUUCUAGAAAAAAUAGUUUUCCUCCCUCUCUUUUUCUCUCUUAGAAACUCUUUCUUUAGUAUGUAAAAGCUCUUGCUUUUUGUGUGAGAAAAAAUGAGUGAAACGAGGUAUCUAUUUAUAAGUAAAUAUCCCAUAAUUUAAAGCAAAUGAAGGGUCAAAUUUCAUUUAAAAGAGAAAACAUGGGUGCCAUUUAAGUUUGAGGUUAAAUACUUCAAUUUAGUGGGGUUUUUAUUGCCAAAAACGUGGGUGGCCCUUUGAGAAAAUAAUUGAUGAAAAUAAAUAUUUAAAUUCUAGAGAAAAACGAGAAUUUUCAUUUCAGGCAGUUUCGGUCGACUGGUUGUAGUCCGGUUGACACUGCACAGUCUUUAGUGUUUCUAUCAUAACUUCUUCUCCAGAUAUCUGAUUGAGGUAAUUCAAAGUGCGUUGGAAAGCUAACUCAAAGAGCUACAACUUUUAUUUAGAUAUCAUUUUCCAAAUCGAAUGUUUCCUAUGUCGAAAAUGGGUCUCAAAUGAGACUAAAAAUCUGAAGUAUACUUUAGUCAUCCAAUAUUCAUGUUUUAGUGCCACUAAAGUGUCUAGAAUUAUUUGGGGUUCUACAUCCCCUACAGCUUAAUUAAAAUUUCGUUCUCGAAAUUUACCUUCUGAUUGGGCGAAUAGUGUUGGAUACUUGUCUUUGGCUUCUUCUUCUUUUUCCCAAGUGGCUUCUUCUACGCCGUGAUAACUCCACUGUAUCUUAUCCAGCUGAAUCCCUUUAUUCCUUAGUUUAUGCACUUUUCGAUUCAAUAUCUUGAUCGGUAGUUCCUCGUACGACAAAUCUUUCUGUACCUCCAAGUUUUGAUAACUCAUUACAUGAUUAGGAUCAUAUACAUACUUCUUUAUCAUUGAUAUAUGGAACACAUUGUGCACUGCCAAUAAUUCAGGUGGCAAAUCUAGUCGGUAAGCCACAUUUUCGACUCUAUCAAGUAUCUCGAAAGGUCCAAUAUACCGGGGACGUAGCUUGCCUUUCUUUCCAAAUCUAAGUACACCUUUCAUCGGUGCUACUUUCAGAAACACUUUAUCUCCAACUUGGAAUUCUAAAUCCUUCCUCCUUAUAUCUGCAUAGGUCUUUUGUCGAUCAUGUGCUGUCUGUAUUCUUGCACGAAUUUUAUCGAUUACCUCGACCGUCCUUUCAACUAUUUCUGGUCCCAAAACUCUCUUCUCUCCGACUUCAUCCCAAUGAACAGGGGAUCUACAUCUUCUACCAUAGAGAGUUUCGUAUGGUGUCAUUCCAAUAGUUGUUUGGAAACUGUUAUUAUAAGCGAACUCUACUAGAGGUAAGUAUGACUCCCAAUUACCUCCUAGAUCCAAAACACAUGUUCUCAGCAUGUCUUCUAAAGUUUGGAUGGUCCUUUCAGACUGACCAUCGGACUGAGGGUGAUAUGCUGUACUAAAGUUCAACUUCGUUCCCAUAGCUCCUCGUAGACUUUUUCAAAAUUUGGACGUGAACCUUGGGUCUCUGUCAGACACAAUGGAUACAGGUACACCGUGUAAUCUCACAAUCUCUUUAAUGUACAACUGUGCCAAUUGGUCUAAACUGAAUGUCAUUUUCACUGGAAGAAAAUGAGCUGACUUCGUUAGUCGAUCCACUACUACCCAUAUAGCAUUAUUUUCUCUUGCUGACUUCGGGAAUCCAACCACAAAGUCCAUCGUGAUAUUUUUUCCAUUUCCAUUCAGGUAUAUCUAGUGGAUUUAACAGUCCAGCUGGUUUUUGGUAUUCUUCCUUAACCUGUUGACAUACCAUGCACUUCUGCACGUACAGCCCUAUACUUCUUUUCAUAUUUCUCCACCAAACUGUAUCUCGAAGAUCUCGAUAUAUUUUCAUACCACUGGGAUGUGCGGUGUACGGGGUGGAAUGAACUUCUUUCAAUAUCUCGUUUAUCAAGGCUUCAUCCUUAGGCACGCAAAUUCUCCCUCUAAAUAUCAGUGCUUGAUCCUUAGCUACUCCAAAGUCCUUUUUCUUAUCGGUACCAACUUCAUUCUUAAUUUUCUGCAAAAAUGAAUCUUUAUUUUGUGCUUUUAUAAUUCGAUCUCUAAGAGUAGGUCAAAUUAUUAAAGCUGCUAGACGAACAGUGACUUGUGUGGUAACCACUUCGAUCUGCAACUUUUCCAAAUCCUUAACUAACUCCACUUGAGAGGUGGGUAGUGACGUCAAUUGUCCCAUGGAUUUCCUACUUAGAGCGUCGGCCACAACAUUAGCCUUACUCGGAUGGUAGUGAAUAGUGCAGUCGUAAU
Molecule: long non-coding RNA, 2282 nt
Filed under: Olea europaea subsp. europaea
Lineage: Eukaryota; Viridiplantae; Streptophyta; Magnoliopsida; Lamiales; Oleaceae
Source: RNAcentral